CCCGCACAAGCAGCGGAGCGUGUGGUUUAAUUCGAUGCAACACGAAGAACCUUACCAAGGCUUGACAUGACAGAAGUAGCUGAAGGAAACGGAUGCCAACCGUUAAGUCGGUAGCUGCCACAAGUGCUGCAUGGCUGUCGUCAGCUCGUGCCGUGAGGUGUUGGGUUAAGUCCCGCAACGAGCGCAACCCUUAUUGCCAGUUAAUUUCUCUGGCGAGACUGCCCCGCAAAACGGGGAGGAAGGUGGGGAUGACGUCAAGUCAGCCAUCGCCUUAUGCCUUGGGCUACACACACGCUACAAUGGAUGACACAAUUGGUCGCAAGAGCGCGAGCUGGAGCUAAUCCAAUAAAGUCAUUCUCAGUUCGGAUUGCAGGCUGAAACCCGCCUGCAUGAAGUUGGAGUUGCUAGUAAUCGCAGGUCAGCAUACUGCGGUGAAUACGUUCUCGGGCCUU
Molecule: ribosomal RNA, 452 nt
Filed under: uncultured Chloroflexota bacterium
Lineage: Bacteria; Bacillati; Chloroflexota
Description: bacterial SSU rRNA
Rfam family: Bacterial small subunit ribosomal RNA
Source: RNAcentral